AUGGCCAGGCUUGGUCUUCUGGGAUAUCGAUCUGGAUGGAUACUACUCGAUCUGGAAGUUCCACGGCCUCUCAAAUUUCACACUUAUUUUGAUUGAUCCGGCGAUCCCGACCACGCAUCACCUGAAAAUCUAAAUCUGUCGCACCUGCGGCAAAUGCAAAUACCCAAAUAGCUUAGGUUAGGGUUUGAGUGUUGGUUUCGCAUAGAAGGAAAUGAAGAGAAGGAAGGGUGUACGCGUACCUGUCGUUUCCUAUAUGGAGAUAGCGACAGACAUCCCCCAGUUGCGUUAUUGAGCCAGGGAACGCUUGCCGGUUGAAUGGGAGAAGAAAGGCAAGCGGUGCAAGGAGUUCCGAUGCGGCGGCCGGCGGCGUAGCAAGUUGGGGAUCUGCAAAAAGAGAUGCCGCACCAUGUUGACGUACUGUAGGCGCGCUAGCUGCAACCUUUGCAGAUCCGACCGCGCAGAGGUCGCCAACAACGAUGCCAGCACCGCACCAUGUGAAGGGCUCUCUGAAAGGGAAAUGUGCCCUUAGGCCAUUUCUAAGUAUUUUGGUGAUUGAGUGCAAACACAAGUGCUUAAUUGUGAAUCUAUGCCCAUGGAUGAACAAGGUGCAAAUCACAAGUAAAGGUAUGUUUCUAAGCCUUAGUACAUUGGUGUUAUGUACUAAUAUACUUGUCUAAGUGAUAGAAACAGAAAGAAGAAGAAAGAAGAAGAGUUGGCUGUGUACAGCCAAAAGACUGCUUCGGUCUGGAGCACCGGACUGUCCGGUGGUGCACCGGACAGUGUCCGGUGGUGCACCGGACAGUGUCCGGUGCGCCAGGCUGCCUCGGGCGAAGAAGCCGCUCUCGGGAAUUUGCCGACGGCGUACGGCUAUAAUUCACCGGACUGUCCGGUGUGCACCGGACUGUCCGGUGAGCCAACGGUCGGCUGAGCCAACGGCCGGCCGCGUGAUCUGCGCGGGACACGUGGCCUGGCCAACGGUCGGAAGGAGGCACCGGACUGUCCGGUGUGCACCGGACUAUCUGGUGCGCCAGAUCUGCAACGGUUGGCAACGGUCGGCUGCGCCUGUUAAGGAAAGAAAUCGGGCACCGGACAGUGUCCGGUGUGCACCAGACUGUCCGGUGCGCCUGACGACAGAAGGCAAGGAUGGCCUGCCAGAUUUGUUCUCAACGGCUCCUAGCUGCCUUGGGGCUAUAAAAGGAACCCCUAGGCGCAUGGAGGAGAACACCAAGCAACCUUAGAGCAAUCUUGAUCAUCCACACUCAGUCUUUGCGCAUUUGUUUGUCAUUCUAAGUGAUUCGAGCUCCGUUCUAGUGAGAACUUUGAGAUAGUCUUUUGAGCUCGAUUCUUGGCCGUGUGUGUGCGCAUUUUGCUGUGGAUUUGUGUGUGUUGCUUCCCUCCCUUACUCCGUACUUCUUUGUGAAACUCUAUUGUAAGGGCGAGAGACUCCAAGUUGUGGAGAUUCCUCGCAAACGGGAAAAGAGCAAAGAAAAGAAGAACACCGUGGUAUUCAAGUUGAUCAUUGGAUCACUUGAGAGGAGUUGAGUGCAACUCUCGUCCGUUGGGACGCCACAACGUGGAGUAGGCAAGUUUUGUACUUGGCCGAACCACGGGAUAACCACCGUGUCAUCUCUGUGAUUGCUUUCUUGUGGUUAUUGUGUUUUGACUCCUCUCUAGCCACUUGGCAAGAACUGUGCUAACACUUAACAAGUUUUUGUGGCUAUAAGUUUAAGUUUUACAGGAUCACCUAUUCACCCCCCCCCCUCUAGGUGCUCUCAAUUGGUAUCAGAGCCGUUCUCUUCAAGAAAGGGACUAGCCACCCGAAGAGAUGGAUCCCAAGGGGAAGGGAAUCGUGAUCAACGAUAAGGAGAAGGAGUCCUUCGUCAAUGAGCUCAAAGAUGACAAGCCUACCGACUCCGGCUCGGGUCAUAGACGAAAGGAAGGGAAGAAGAAGAAGACGAGGCGCAUCAAGGAGAUCGUCUACUACGACGACAGUGAUGAGUCUACUUCUUCCCAAAAGGACGACGACCACAACGACUACGAGCAAAGGAAACCGGUUAAUUCUAACUUUUCCUUUGACUACUCUCGUAUUCCGCAAAGCUCAAAUUCACAUUUGCUUUCCAUUCCACUCGGCAAGCCCCCACACUUUGAUGGGGAGGACUACGGAUUUUGGAGCCACAAAAUGCGUAGUCACCUAUUUUCUCUCCAUCCUAGUAUAUGGGAGAUUGUAGAUAGUGGAAUGCACUUUAAUAGUUCAGAUAGUCCUAUAUUCAUUAAUGAGCAAAUCCAUAAGAAUGCACAAGCUACUACUGUUCUUCUAGCUUCAUUGUGCAGGGAUGAAUAUAACAAAGUGAGUGGCUUGGAUAACGCCAAGCAAAUCUGGGAUACCCUCAAGAUCUCUCAUGAGGGAAAUGACGCUACCUUGCUCACCAAAAUGGAGUUGGUGGAGGGCGAGCUUGGACGGUUCGCGAUGAUAAGGGGCGAGGAGCCAACUCAAACAUACAACCGGCUCAAGACCAUUAUCAACAAAAUAAGGAGCUACGGAAGCACGCGAUGGACGGACCACGACAUCGUCCGACUAAUGCUAAGGUCCUUUACCGUUCUUGAUCCUCAUUUGGUGAAUAAUAUUCGUGAGAAUCCCAGGUACACCAAAAUGUCGCCCGAAGAAGUCUUAGGAAAAUUCGUCAGCGGGCGAAUGAUGAUCAAGGAGGCAAGAUACGUGGACGACGCCUUGAAUGGACCGAUCAACGAACCACAACCUUUUGCUCUCAAAGCAUCAAGAAGUAAGGAGGCACUACCUAGCAAGGUGACACAAAUUGAGGCGGUCGGACUUAAUGAUGAAGAGAUGGCUCUCAUCAUCAAACGCUUCAAGACGGUGCUAAAGGGUCACAAGGGGCAGCCAAGCAAGACCAAGACGAAGGGAAAGCGCUCAUGCUUCAAGUGCGGUAAGAUUGGUCAUUUUAUCGCUAACUGCCCCGAUAAUGAUAGUGACCAGGAAAAGGGAAACAAGAGGGAAAAGAAGAAGCAUUACAAGAAGGCAAAGGGCGAGGCGCAUCUAGGCAAGGAGUGGGACUCGGAUUGCUCCUCUUCCGACUCCGACAAUGAAGGACUCGCCGCCACCGCCUUCAACAAAUCAACCCUCUUCCCCAACGAGCGUCACACAUGCCUUAUGGCAAAGGAGAAGAAGGUAUGUACUCGCAACUCUACCUAUGCUUCUUCAAGUGAGGACGAAUCUAGUGAUGAGGAUGAAGUAGAUUAUUCAUGUUUGUUCAAGGGCUUAGAUAGAUCUAAGAUAGACAAAAUUAAUGAAUUAAUUGAUGCCUUGAAUGAAAAGAAUAUACUUUUAGAAAAGCAAGAGGAUUUGUUGUAUGAAGAACAUGAUAAGUUUGUAGAGGCUCAAAAAUCCCUUGCAUUAGAAAUUAAGAGGAAUGAAAUGCUUGCUUGUGAAGUGUCAACAUGCCAUGAUUCUAUUUCUAACUUAAAGAGCAUAAACGAUGAUUUAAAUGCUAAACUAGUAGAAGCAAAUAAAUCCAACUCUUGUGUUGAAUAUGUUGAAAUUUGCACUAGGUGUAAGGAUAUUGAUAUUAAUGCUUGUAGCGAACACUUAGUUUCUAUUUCAAAAUUGAAUGAUGAAUUAGCUAGUCUUAAUGCUCAACUUAAGACUAGCAAGAGUAAUUUUGAUAAACUAAAAUUUGCUAGGGAUGCCUACACGGUUGGUAGACACCCCUCAAUUAAGGAUGGGCUUGGCUUCAAGAGGGAAGCCAAGAACUUAACAAGCCAUAAGGCUCCCAUUCCCACUAAGGAGAAAGGGAAGGCCCCUAUGGCUACUAGUGCUAAAAAGAACCAUGCCUUUUUAUAUCAUGAUAGGAGACAAACUAGAAAUGCUUAUAAGAGUUAUAAUGAGUACGAUGAUUUUUCUCAUGCUAUGUUUGCUUCUAGUUCUUCAUAUGUGCAUGAUAGAAAUGUUGGUAGAAGGGAUGUUGUUCAUAAUAUGCCUAGGAGAAAUGUUGUUAAUAUUCCUAGGAAAGUUAAUGAGCCUUCUACAAUAUAUCAUGCUUUGAAUGCUUCCUUUGCAAUUUGUAGAAAGGAUAGAAAGGUAAUUGCUAGGAAGUUAGGGGCAAGAUGCAAGGGAGACAAAACUUGCAUUUGGGUCCCUAAGAAUAUUUGUGCUAACCUUGUAGGACCCAACAUGAGUUGGGUACCUAAGUCCCAAGCCUAAAUUUGCCUUGCAGGUUUAUGCAUCCGGGGGUUCAAGCUGGAUUAUUGACAGCGGAUGCACAAACCAUAUGACGGGGGAGAAGAAGAUGUUCACCUCCUACGUCAAGAAUAAGGAUUCCCAAGAUUCAAUUAUUUUCGGUGAUGGGAAUCAAGGCAAGGUAAAAGGGUUAGGUAAAAUUGCAAUAUCAAAUGAGCACUCAAUUUCUAAUGUGUUUUUAGUAGAGUCUCUAGGAUAUAAUUUACUAUCUGUUAGUCAAUUAUGCAAUAUGGGGUAUAACUGUCUAUUUACUAAUGUAGAUGUGUCUGUCUUUAGAAGAAGUGAUGGUUCACUAGCUUUUAAGGGUGUAUUAGACGGCAAACUGUACUUAGUUGAUUUUGCAAAAAAAGAAGUCGGUCUAGAUGCAUGCUUAAUAGCUAAGACUAGCAUGGGCUGGCUGUGGCAUCGCCGCUUAGCACAUGUGGGGAUGAAGAACCUUCACAAACUUCUAAAGGGAGAACACGUGAUAGGUUUGACUAACGUUCAAUUCGAAAAAGAUAGACCUUGUGCAGCUUGUCAAGCAGGUAAACAAGUGGGAGGAGCGCAUCACAGCAAGAAUGUGAUGACAACUUCAAGACCCCUGGAGCUGCUGCAUAUGGACCUCUUCGGACCCGUCGCCUAUCUAAGUAUAGGAGGAAGUAAGUAUGGUCUAGUUAUUGUUGAUGACUUUUCCCGCUUCACUUGGGUGUUCUUUUUGCAGGAUAAGUCUGAAACCCAAGGGACCCUCAAGCGCUUCCUCAGGAGAGCUCAAAAUGAGUUUGAGCUCAAGGUGAAGAAGAUAAGGAGCGACAACGGGUCCGAGUUCAAGAACCUUCAAGUGGAGGAGUUCCUUGAAGAGGAAGGGAUCAAGCACGAGUUCUCCGCUCCCUACACACCACAGCAAAAUGGUGUGGUAGAGAGGAAGAACAGGACGCUCAUUGACAUGGCAAGGACGAUGCUAGGAGAGUUCAAGACCCCCGAGUACUUUUGGACGGAAGCCGUGAAUACGGCUUGCCACGCCAUCAACAGGGUCUACCUUCAUCGCCUCCUCAAGAAGACGUCGUAUGAGCUACUAACCGGUAACAAACCCAAUGUAUCUUACUUUCGUGUAUUUGGGAGCAAGUGCUACAUUCUAGUGAAGAAAGGUAGAAAUUCUAAGUUUGCUCCCAAAGCUGUAGAAGGGUUUUUGUUAGGUUAUGACUCAAAUACAAAGGCGUAUAGAGUCUUCAACAAAUCAUCGGGUUUGGUUGAAGUCUCUAGCGACGUUGUAUUUGAUGAGACUAAUGGCUCUCCAAGAGAGCAAGUUAUUGAUUGUGAUGAUGUAGAUGAAGAAGAUGUUCCGACGACCGCUAUACGAACCAUGGCGAUUGGAGACAUUCGGCCACAGGAACAAUAUGAACGAGAUCAACCUUCUUCCUCAACUAAGGUGCAUCCCCCAACUCAAGACGAUGAACAGGUUCAUCAACAGGAGGCGUGUGAUCAAGGGGGAGCACAAGUUGAUCAUGUGAUGGAGGAAGAAGCGCAACCGGCACCUCCAACCCAAGUUCGAGCGAUGAUUCAAAGGGAUCAUCCCGUCGACCAAAUUCUGGGUGACAUUAGCAAGGGAGUAACUACUCGGUCUCGAUUAGUUAAUUUUUGUGAGCAUUACUCCUUUGUCUCUUCUAUUGAGCCUUUCAGGGUAGAGGAGGCCUUGCUAGAUCCGGACUGGGUGUUGGCCAUGCAGGAGGAACUCAACAACUUCAAGCGCAAUGAAGUUUGGACACUGGUGCCUCGUCCGAAGCAAAAUGUUGUGGGAACCAAGUGGGUGUUCCGCAACAAACAGGACGAGCACGGGGUGGUGACGAGGAACAAGGCUCGACUUGUGGCAAAAGGUUAUGCCCAAGUCGCAGGUUUGGACUUUGAGGAGACUUUCGCUCCUGUGGCUAGGCUAGAGUCCAUUCGUAUCUUGCUAGCAUAUGCCGCUCACCAUUCUUUCAGGUUGUACCAAAUGGAUGUGAAGAGCGCUUUCCUCAACGGGCCAAUCAAGGAGGAGGUGUACGUGGAGCAACCCCCUGGCUUCGAGGAUGAACGGUACCCCGACCACGUGUGUAAGCUCUCUAAGGCGCUCUAUGGACUUAAGCAAGCCCCAAGAGCAUGGUAUGAAUGCCUUAGAGACUUUCUAAUAGCUAAUGCUUUCAAGGUUGGGAAAGCCGAUCCAACUCUUUUUACAAAGACAUGUGAUGGUAAUUUAUUUGUGUGCCAAAUUUAUGUCGAUGACAUAAUAUUUGGUUCUACUAACCAAAAGUCUUGUGAAGAGUUUAGCAGGGUGAUGACGCAGAAAUUCGAGAUGUCGAUGAUGGGCGAGUUGAACUACUUCCUUGGGUUCCAAGUGAAGCAACUCAAGGACGGCACCUUCAUCUCCCAAACGAAGUACACGCAAGAUCUGCUAAAGCGGUUUGGGAUGAAGGACGCCAAGCCCGCAAAGACUCCGAUGGGGACCGACGGACACACCGACCUCAACAAAGGAGGUAAGUCCGUUGAUCAAAAAGCAUACCGGUCAAUAAUAGGUUCUUUGCUUUACUUAUGUGCUAGUAGACCGGAUAUUAUGCUUAGCGUAUGCAUGUGUGCUAGAUUUCAAUCCGAUCCUAAGGAAUGUCACUUAGUGGCGGUGAAGCGAAUUCUUACAUAUUUAGUUGCUACGCCUUGCUUCGGGCUCUGGUAUCCAAAGGGGUCUACCUUUGACUUAGUUGGAUACUCAGACUCCGACUAUACUGGAUGUAAGGUCGAUAGGAAGAGUACAUCGGGGACGUGCCAAUUCUUAGGAAGGUCCCUGGUGUCAUGGAAUUCUAAGAAACAAACUUCCGUUGCCCUAUCCACCGCUGAGGCCGAGUAUGUUGCCACAGGACAGUGUUGCGCGCAACUACUUUGGAUGAGGCAAACCCUCCGGGACUUUGGCUACAAUCUGAGCAAAGUCCCACUCCUAUGUGAUAAUGAGAGUGCUAUCCGCAUGGCGGAAAAUCCUGUUGAACACAGCCGCACAAAGCACAUAGACAUCCGGCAUCACUUUUUGAGAGACCACCAGCAAAAGGGAGAUAUCGAAGUGUUUCAUGUUAGCACCGAGAACCAGCUAGCCGAUAUCUUUACCAAGCCUCUAGAUGAGAAGACCUUUUGCAGGCUGCGUAGUGAGCUAAAUGUCUUAGAUUCGCAGAACUUGGAUUGACUUAUAACAUACAUGUGUUUAUGCCAUUGAUCAUGUUCCUUAUGCAUUUUGUUGCUUAUUGAUGGUGCUCAAGUUGUACAAGCACUCCCCGGACCUCACAAGUCCUUUUUGCAAGUAAUGCACACAUUUAGGGGGAGAUGUGCUACAACUUGACCCUUUGAGACUAACCAUUUGUUUGAGUUUGCUUGAUUUAGUCUCGAAGGAGAAUUGAAAGGGAAAAGGUGGACUUGGACCAUGCAAGACUUCCACUGCACUCCGAUGAGAGGGUAACUUAUUCCAAGUUCAUCUCUAUGAUCUUAUUGCCUUUGUCCUCUUAAUUGAAGAUUUUGGUGAGGCAAUGGGGUUAAAGGGCCAAGAUUGAUCCCGUUUUGGUGCUUGAUGCCAAAGGGGGAGAAAAUAAAGGCCAAAGCAAUAAAUGGAUCAGCUACCACUUGAGAGAUUUGAAAAUAGUAGGGUAGAGCUUUUGUUUUGUCAAAACUCUUAUUGUCUCUUUUGUGAAAAGUUGGCUUCUUGUGGGGAGAAGUAGUAAUUAUGGGAAAAAGGGGGAGUUUUUGAAAUCCUUGAUCAAUCUCUUUUGGAAUGACUCUCUUUAUGCUUCAACAUGUGUGUUUGACUUAGAGAUAGAGAUUUGAGUUCGAUUUACAAAAACAAACCAAGUGGUGGCAAAGGAUGAUCCAUAUAUGCCAAAAAUGAAUCAAAAUAAAUUUGAGGUUUAUUUGAAGUGAUUUUGCACUUGUUCUAGUUGCUUUGUGUUGUGUUAGCAUAAAUCACCAAAAAGGGGGAGAUUGAAAGGGAAAUGUGCCCUUAGGCCAUUUCUAAGUAUUUUGGUGAUUGAGUGCAAACACAAGUGCUUAAUUGUGAAUCUAUGCCCAUGGAUGAACAAGGUGCAAAUCACAAGUAAAGGUAUGUUUCUAAGCCUUAGUACAUUGGUGUUAUGUACUAAUAUACUUGUCUAAGUGAUAGAAACAGAAAGAAGAAGAAAGAAGAAGAGUUGGCUGUGUACAGCCAAAAGACUGCUUCGGUCUGGGGCACCGGACUGUCCGGUGGUGCACCGGACAGUGUCCGGUGCGCCAGGCUGCCUCGGGCGAAGAAGCCGCUCUCGGGAAUUUGCCGACGGCGUACGGCUAUAAUUCACCGGACUGUCCGGUGUGCACCGGACUGUCCGGUGAGCCAACGGUCGGCUGAGCCAACGGUCGGCCGCGCGAUCUGCGCGGGACACGUGGCCUGGCCAACGGUCGGAAGGAGGCACCGGACUGUCCGGUGCGCCAGAUCUGCAACGGUUGGCAACGGUCGGCUGCGCCUGUUAAGGAAAGAAAUCGGGCACCGGACAGUGUCCGGUGUGCACCGGACUGUCCGGUGCGCCCGACGACAGAAGGCAAGGAUGGCCUGCCAGAUUUGUUCUCAACGGCUCCUAGCUGCCUUGGGGCUAUAAAAGGAACCCCUAGGCGCAUGGAGGAGAACACCAAGCAACCUUAGAGCAAUCUUGAUCAUCCACACUCAGUCUUUGCGCAUUUGUUUGUCAUUCUAAGUGAUUCGAGCUCCGUUCUAGUGAGAACUUUGAGAUAGUCUUUUGAGCUCGAUUCUUGGCCGUGUGUGUGCGCAUUUUGCUGUGGAUUUGUGUGUGUUGCUUCCCUCCCUUACUCCGUACUUCUUUGUGAAACUCUAUUGUAAGGGCGAGAGACUCCAAGUUGUGGAGAUUCCUCGCAAACGGGAAAAGAGCAAAGAAAAGAAGAACACCGUGGUAUUCAAGUUGAUCAUUGGAUCACUUGAGAGGAGUUGAGUGCAACUCUCGUCCGUUGGGACGCCACAACGUGGAGUAGGCAAGUUUUGUACUUGGCCGAACCACGGGAUAACCACCGUGUCAUCUCUGUGAUUGCUUUCUUGUGGUUAUUGUGUUUUGACUCCUCUCUAGCCACUUGGCAAGAACUGUGCUAACACUUAACAAGUUUUUGUGGCUAUAAGUUUAAGUUUUACAGGAUCACCUAUUCACCCCUCCCUCUAGGUGCUCUCACUCUCGCCAAUGCUCAAGAAAAGGUUGAAGAGAGGCGCGGCCAACACGACGGCGUGUGGGGCGAGGAAGGGAAUGGCGCUUGUCUGGAAGCAUCGCGGCGUAUCGUUUGACAGAGUACGUGGAAAUGCAGAGAGAGUUCGUGUAGCCGUUCGUAAAUGAUCGAACGGUUAAAAAUAUAAAGGCGACGUGGAUAGCCUUAUCUUUGCAGUUUUGAACCGGCUUUAAUAUAUAGAAAUCUCGUUGCAUUAUCUAUUUUUGACAAUGAAGACAAUAUUUAGGUAUAUAGGAUGUUUUUAUAUAUAUGUGUUGGAAUAGGUCAGGAGAAUAUUUGAAUAUACAGUCGGAGAAGAAAUAUUAAAUAUUCUGGUCAAAAUCUCUAUUCUCGAUCAGUAACACGAAAAGAUCCUUCUAGAUACCCUAAGGCCGAUAGGAUACAACUUUGUAGAGUUCAGACCAAUUGACUCCGGGUUGCCACUUAUUAGUUAAGAUAAGAUAUUACAAGUACUGCCAGACAAUUUAAAGGGUGUUUGAAUGCACUAGAACUAAUAGUUAGUUGGCUAAAAAUUGUUAAUGAAAUUAGCUAGCUAACAAAUAACUACCUAACUAUUAACUAAUUUACCAAAAAUAGCCAAUAGCUGAACUAUUAGUUAUGGUGUUUGAAUGUUUCAACUAAUUUUAGACACUAACUAUUAGCUCUAAUGCAUUCAAAUACCCCUUAGGCCUUGUUCGUUUGUGUAGGAUUGGUGGGUCGGAACGAUUCCUAACCGGAUUGCUUCGCUAAUUUAUAUAAACUUUAAUUAGCUCGAACGAUUCCGGGUGUAAUCCGAUGCAAACGAACAAGGCCUUAGGCUGCUACAAUACGAGUUUGACGGAAAGAACUGGAACAAGCCGACCGGAUGCCUUCUUCUCGAUCCGCCACGUGUGUUGGACCCUGUACCCAAAAAAAAAACGCGAAAUCAUUGGCGAGAACGUGGCGCCGCCGUGGAACGUUGUCGCUCGACGAGCCCGCGCUGGCCAUGGGUCCCACGACAGAUGAGAUAGCACCGGUGGCGACCGACUCGAUGAUACAAGCGCGGCGUGUCUUUGCAGCUGCAGUGCAGGCCACAAGGAACCAACAAGGCAACAACCAGGUACUGGUACAAGUUUCCUCCCUGUCAAUGUCGUCGCCUUGCAAUUGCAAAUUGGAGCAGGUCGCCGAUCGCUUUCUUUUUGCCAGCGUGCGUACACACAUGGUGUGUACGACUGACAUAACCUACGCAACUGUAAAUGUAAUAAAGCGGAGUUCACGAAAUGGGCCAGCGGAUUUUCAAACGACCGGUCGGCAGCCUGCGGCAAUUUUGUUAUUCGUGAAAGUCUGAACAGCACAGGCACUGAGGCACAGCUUUCUCUUCUUUCUUUCUUUCUUUCUUUCUUUCUUUCUUUCUUUUUUCAAUCGAGGAGGAGCUGGCGGACAACUUUGCUCUCUGUUCCUUGCUUCCAUAGACUAAUCGAUCGCUGGCAUUUCGGAGUUUAUUAUUAUUGUUUGCUUAUUUGUCUUCUGCAUUACCAUUCAUCUUCUUCAGUCUUCACAUCACCCCUCUACUACCUCUAGACUUCUAGAGAGUAAAAAGAUAUCGGACAUGCUUUGACUGCGAGAAUACUGUGCUGCGCGAGCGAACGAACAAACAAACAUGCGCGCCUGGCACGAACGGCCCCGCUCGUCUCUCUGCCGCGACCCACCGCGAGACGACCGCCCGGCCACUCGCCGAUCCGCUUCGCAUGCGCACAUGCAGGCACGUAGCAGGCGCCACCACAUGGCACGGCAGCCCACCCCCCACGCCCAGACGCUAUAAAUCCCGGCCCCGCCCUCGCCUCCGUAGUCCGUACUACCCAGGCAAGCGAUCGUCGGAGCAGAGAGAGACUUCCUCGCCUCCAUCCCAUCCCGCCGCCGCCGUCUCUACGGUCGCUAAUAAGCCGCCGCAUCCAGGGAUGGAGAUGAAGAAGAUCGCCUGCGCCGUCCUCGUCGCCGCCUCGGCCACCGUGGCGCUGGCCGCGGAGGCGCCGGCUCCGUCUCCCACCAGCGGCUCCUCCGCGGUCGCACCCGCCAUCGUCGGGGCCGCCGUGGCCUCCUUCUUCGCGUACUACAUUCACUGAGCCGCCGGACGAGGAGCCGGAGCCGGAGGGAAGAGACCAAGGUGGGGGGAGAGACUUGGCUGCGCUGCGCUGCUCUGCUGCUCCCGCGCAUUCCCGAUGCGUGGGCGUGCUCUGAUUGGGCACGGCGGUGGCAGUGGCACACCUUCGUCUUCCUUUUGUUUGUUUUUUUUCCUUCCUCUUUCUACUUGAUUUUCAUUUAACGAAUUGGUAUCGCUGAUGCACCAGUUUAAUUUGGUGCCCUGUUAUUUGUUCUUUCCCUCGAGUGAGGGAUCGACACCUGUACCAUUGCUUGCCAUUUGUCUGGACCAGUUCAACAAUUCGAUUUAACCAUCACGUAUAUGUGUGCUUUGGAUAAACAUUAUUACAUUACCCUCAUGGUGAGGGGAUUGCCGGUUUGUUAUGCCUUAAUAUGCGUGAUUGAGAAUGUGCUUGCCGUGUGCCCUGCUCUGCUUUUUAACUGCUCUUAUAAAAAGUCGUAUAUUUGAGUCCUAAAAAUUAAAAUAGAAUCUGAUUUCAAAUAUUUAAAACUAUAGAAAAUAUUUACGGUUCAAACAGUUGAGUCAUAUAUCAUAUUAUUAGAAAAUAGAUUAUUUUAUUUAAGAAAAUAAAAAGUUUAGAAGUACCAUACAAAAUGAGGGAGGGUAAAGCAUCAACAUAAGAGGUCCUACAUUUACAAUUUGAGUACUAUAAUUAUUGUGAUAAAUAUAUUUAGGGCUAGUUUGGAAAUAUCAUUUUCCUGAGGUUUUCCAUUUUCUCAAAGAAAAUUAGUUUAUUUUCUCUUAGGAAAUUGAAAAUCCCAUGGAAAAAUGGAGAUGCCAAACUAGCCCUUAAAAAUAUUUAGGGCACGUACAACGGCCAUAAAUAAACUGUCUGUAUAACGCCACAUUAGCAUGAUUAUCCUUGUUGGACUCGGUUAAAUGAAGAUAGAUCGCCUCGCGUGAGGACGGCUCCUGCUCCUGCUCCAAGGGCUAGGGAUGGAUUCGGAUGUCUGGAGAUCCGAAAUAUCCGUAUUCGUAUUCGGAUAAAGUGCUAAUAUGGAUAUCCGUAUUCGUAUUCGAUUUUAAUAUGGAUGUUAAAUAGACAUAUUCGAAUUCGUUUCUUCUCUAUCCGGUUUAAGAUUCGUAUUCGACAACAUUCGACAAAACCGUGAAAUAUCCGAUACUAUUCGUAUUCGAAAGAAAAAAGUAUUCAAUAAAAUCAAUUUAAACUUACUUUUAUUACUAAUUACAAGUGAUUUUAAACAUUAAAUAAUAUACUAAAACCUGAAAUACACCAUUUAAAAUGUUAAAAAUAUUUAUAUCAUAAACAAAUGAUUGUGUUAAUCUUACAGUACUAGUGAUAUACAAUGAUAAAUUUUAAUAAUAUUAAAAAGUCUAAUUUUGAAUACAUUAGAUUAUUGGAGUUUGAGUCCAAAAUACAAAUAUACUUAAUAUAAAAAAGAUUAUAAUUAGAGUCCAAAAUAUAAAUAUACCAGGUAUAAAUAUUUUAUUUAAAAAUAUGAUAUUCAACUAAGUUUCAACUAAAUAAUGUAUAUGUACUAUUGUUCAUAAUUUGCUUGUAAUAUGAUUUUUAUCAACUAUAAACCCAUCGAUAAAACAAAUUAAUACUUGUUAUGAUGCUAUGUUCUAAAUUAAGUAAGUAUCCGAAUGUAAAUCCGAAUUCGAACUAUCCGUUUUGUAUACGUAUCCGACAGUAUUCGUAUCCGUAUUCGGAUUAAAAUAUGGUAAAUAGUGACAUUCGAAUUCGUUUCCAUGCGUAUCCGAUCCGAAUCCAUCCCUACCAAGUGCAAGGCAAAUCGCCCGCUUGUAGCCUAUUGUACAUAGUUGCCGCCAGUCUGCUGCUUGCAUAUGAUUAAAUACUGGUUUGAAUGUAUUUAUCUGCAGACGCUCAUUGUAUAUAAUGUUUUUAUUACUGUUUUGUGUAUGACGCGGCGACUCAAAUAGACAGCAGCCGUUUAUAGGACUUCUAUUGAAGAUGCUCUAAUUAGAAUGAUGGUACCUACGACGUUAGUACACACUACAGAAUGACGGAAGGAAUGCCCCUGCAAGUUGAUACUGUUGCCCCUGAGGUCAAGGGUUAAUCAAAUUUCUCAUUUUACUCAUCCGAAAAGGUUGCGAAAUUAACACAUGCAACAUGGCAGUUGCCUCCAGAAUUACUGUACAAUUAGUAAAUGUUGGGUAGAGGAUCCAAAUGGCCCCAAAUACACUGCUUUAACAUUUAGAAAUGAGAAAAACUCCAUUUCAUCUUUCAUCAACCGUCACAAAAGUUAGGUUUUCUUUCCUCAACUAUAAAAUCGGACAUGGUUGCACUGUCGUCUCUGUUAGGUUUUCUUUUCUCAACUACAAAACCGGACAAAUGAAAACCACCGAGAAAACAGUCAGAGAGGUCAUGUGUUCGAGGAAAGAGUUAUGUUCGAUUUUAUAGUUAAGGGACGAAAAACUAACUUUUAAGAGAGGUAAAAUAGAUUUUUUUCCCCCCUUUUGAAAUCAUACGAAAAUUUUAACCACCAGAUGACGCUGUUCAUCUCACUGCAAAUGCGAGAGAAAAAAAUACGGAGGGAGAAACCAACUUAGAUCCAUCUGGUACAAAAAGAAUGGAAAGCGAAUAUAGAUCUAUCGCCAAAAGACAAGCAGAUGAAUAUCUCACUGAAGCAUCGACAUUCCACGCCGUCUCUUACUUUAGCAACCUGCACCGCACCGGAAAGUUUUAAGCUCAAAAAAAAAAAGCCUCCAGAAAAGCUGCAAACUUGCACCGCCCAAGUGGCCAGCAACACUUAACUUUGCGUCAUGUCUAGUGCAAGCAGCAUGCGAGGGCAAUGGCGGCAAAUGAUUUUUAAGCUUCAUUUCAGAGAAAAUUCGACACGGCAACAAUGCAGCAGGGCACCAACUUCUUAAAGAAGUAAAUUGCAUGUUAUUUCAGGCAUCCAUGCUGGAUCUACCAGCUGGAAAGAAACACAACACAUCCAGCCAGCACACGAUAGAAAAGAUCAAUCUAUACAUGCGAAAGCUAAUAUAUACUGCGGUCUGCAUACUGAACAGACAUUAAUCUGAGAUGAGAAGGGCCAGCACUGAACAAAAAAAAAUGUGUCACUUCAAGAAGCCGGCCGCCACACCUCUCAAGUCAACACCUUGGCCUUUGCAAGGUCAAGAACGUUACGAUCAAUAACAUAAGGAUUUCCCCAUCCUGGUGCAGGAAAAAGAGCAUAGCGAUGUUUGCAUAAACUAGCAGCAGAGUUGCAUCCUUCCUUGAGUGAAAAGAGACCUGAAACUCAGUGGACUCUGAAGGUGAUUGAGAGUGAUAUGAGUUAUCCUUCCAUUGAAGGCACCUAUUUAUUUGUAAUCGAGAAAAGGAGUACCAAUAAUUGGCAAUUAUUAUUCUGGGAUAAAGGGCUAAUUUAUCUAGCAGCUAAUGCCUAUCUAUUGGGGUGAUGACAGUGCUGCCGGUGAAUCUGCACUAUAAAAAGGAUCGAGAGAAGCUACUAAACAGUGUAAUUCAGAAGAAACAUAAGGGUUACAUACCUAGCAAGCUGAGAAUGUCUAGUGCAUAUCCUGUACAAAACCACAGUGGAUUUUCCAUUCUAAGUUUAACAAAUCUUAUAGUAAAGAGCAAUCACAUUUACGAUAUCAAAUGAUCUUCGUUAGAUAAAUUAUGAAAUGUAUUUUUAUAAUUUACCUCUAAUGUGGUACAUGUUUUUAGUUUAGUCCAGAAACUUGGUGAAACUCAGAAUGGUUGGACUUAGGACAACAUAGAAUCCAUUAUAUUUCAAGGCUACUGGAGUAGAAAUGCAGAAGGUUACAGUGCAAUUGUACUCUGGUAAUCAGGAUUGCUUUCCAGGAAUGAUGGACAUCUGUGCUGGCCUGUCAUAGAACCACAAGGUUCUUUCUAUAUCCCACCCUUCUCAUGCAUCAAGAGACCAGUAAAAGGGGACAUGGCAAUUGGAGAUCUUAAAAUGAAAUAUUGCUCUCCAAAGACAACAGGAAGCGACAGAUCCCUGUGUUGAAGAAUUAAUAAAAGAUCAAGGUCACAGCUUUUCAAGGUCCACUAGAGUGUUAUACUAUCAUAGUGUCACGUAGCAUGACCACGGUGUAUCCAUCUUCCACCAGGAAACAAUAAAUAGCAAAAAGCCAAAUUAUAUAGCUCAGAAAUUUUCAAAAGCAAUUAAGAAAAAAUCCAACUGUUUAGUUCAUGUCAAUAUCGUAAGAGACUAGUACACUAAAAAUAAUAGACAACUUAAUCCAUUCAUGUUAUUAUCCCUACACCAUUAACACUUAACAAGGAACUUGGUUAAAAAACAGUAUCUGGAUUUCGUUAGCACACUCACAGAGGAUCAAUUGAAUUGUCUACGGUACUGGAGCUGCAGUUAGACAAAAUUAAUCUAUAAUGCUUCAUAAUCAAACAAUACCACAAAGGGAUUAUUUGGUUAGAUUUAUCAAAUAAUUCACAAAUCACUAAUUGGUCAUAAGAGAGUCAUGCAGUAGGCAAGCUAAACCUAUAGGAUAUCUGAUCAAAAUAGAUCAAUUUGGAGUUGACAUGCCUAAGUUCCAAGAAAACUCACUUAUCCGACGGAAGACAAACAAAUAACACAUACAAACAGGAUACAGGCAAAUCUUAUCUGCCAAUUCCAGACAUAGCAUAACCAAGGCACGAUAGAAACAUUGUACUUCUGAACACAGAUAAAUACAGAGGUGCAUUAGAACAGAGGAUACAGCAAGUGGAAGAAUACUGUACUGCUAACUAGACCUCCAUCUUUUGAUAGAGAUAUUGGUCUUAAGGUGUCCAAAUGAAUUUCUGGUCUAAAAUUGAUACUAAAGAUGAUUGCAAAAUAAUUUGUGAUACUCCACAUCAUCUAAAUGUUUGAGAUGUUAGAUUACCAUAUCAGGAGUUCAGGAGUCAGGACCAUACAUGACCUCUCUUUUUAAUCUUGCGAAAGUCAGGAUCAAAAGGGGCAAAGAGAUCCCACCAGGCCACAACAACUUUAAUGAUGGCUGAGGACAACAUGCAAUGACCUCGUUGCAAGAAAAAUAUAGUAGAUUAUAAAUGUCUAACUAGAUAAUUAAACAAUCACCACAAAGGACAAUAGUAUAAGUACUAGUUGGUUAAACUAUUGAAAGAUUAUGACAACCAUGUCUUUAGGUAAUUUACAAUCAAAGUAAUCCUCACAAUAACACAAAAGAUGUUCUCUAGUUGGCCGCCAUUAUCAUAAUUGAUACACUGUUAUUUCCAAUUUACUAUAUUUGACAUCUUUUAAGAACGAAAACAUCUGAUCAUAUCGGAGUUCUGAACUAAGCACAUAACUAGACUGCCUAUCAUGGUUUUCAAAGCGGUAUGGCUAUACAAAGCGUUGGACUGCCGCUUGGACGCCUAGGCGAGAUAGGCGAGCAAGGCGUUGGGCCACCGCCUGGACGCCUAGGCGACGCCUUUAAAACAGUGCUGCCAAUCACAAAGGUAUGAGAACACAUUUCAUCCUGAUCUGAGUAUCAAUUCAAUCAGCUACAAUGAUAUUCUAGUGUAAGAUGGUAUUGGUAAUACAACCUUGUUACCUUGCCAAAUCACCAAUGAACCCAAAACACAGUUCAAUAGUAAAAGGGAAGCAGCAAUAAAGAAUUGUGGUUGUAGCCAAUUUAUUAACAAACAGGAUAUCGGUAUGGAGCUGGUUCAUUUAAAAGGAAGAUACUACAUUUUACCAAUUGGUUCUACAAGCUGAAGAUUAAUAUCAUUGUAAUAGAAAUGUCUCGAACAAUCAUAUUUUAAUCUCCCCUCUCCCGUGUACAAUCACCAAAACUAAGCAUAAUCCAACAUCCAAAAGCACCAAAAUAUCUUUAGUUCGAAGUCUACUUGCCUAUUAGCAGUGCAUUUUUAUUCCUUUUGAUACUGAAAACUAAGUAUCCUUCCGGCAGAGGUCUGAACUUAAAAUCAUCUAAUAAACACCGCAGCAACUGACGCGACAGACACUCCCAGAGCGCAAGAGAUGGCCAUCACCCGUGUCCGGAGCAGCAUGAGGUUAACGUUCUUCGUAGCCUGGAGGCACAACGUGAGCACCUGCAGCCUCGCGUUGGCCUCCAUCUUCUGGAAGAAGGCGAUGGGCUUGAUGGCGCGGCGUAGCACCAGGGCGACCGCGAAGGGGAACGCGAACGCCGCCACUCCCUGCACUGCCGCGGCGGAUCCGACACCGAGAGGCGGAGCACCGUAAGAUAUCCACGCGCCGGCGGCGAGGUGCGCUCCUCCGAGGAGCGCGAGCGAGCCGCUGAGGCGCUGCACGGUGCGGCGGAGCGCGUCGAGCUCCCGCCGCGUUUCGUCGGCCAGCGGCGACGUAUCGCGCUCCACCGUGGGGCCCUCGAUCUCCUGGUGCCGCAUCUCAUCCGGCGACGCGGGCGCGGAUGGGGCGCCUUGGCUGGGCUCUGAUGUCGUGGAGGAGGGGUUGGGGCUGGGGUUUGAGGGCGCGGAGAAGAAGCGGCGGCCGGGAUUCAGGAGGAUGAAGGGGUCGCGGCCAUGGGUGAAUGUUUUAGGUAUGGGGAAGUGCGCGGCGGCGACAGCCGUUGGGCUCAGGAGGCGGUGGGAGAGGCGCGAGAGCGCCAUCGGAGGCGGAGCCUGCAACAACGCUGCAAGCCUGACGAGGAAAGGUCGCGGCGGCGGCGGCUCGCCUGUUUCGGAUUUCUGAAAAGUUGUCUCCCGUUUCCCCAGUCAAGAGUCAAGGCGUAAUCUGGGAAUACGUUUGCUCCCCUCGUAUGCGGUAAGACGUUGAACUCGGAGUAAAGUUUUGCUAGCACACUGCAUACGUGGCAUCACAAGGAAAACGCUGUACUAGGGUAGGGACACGCUCGCCGGCAGGUUCGGGCUGCCUUCCUCCACAAUCCAGCGGCUGCCGCACGGCUCGGCCUCGGUCCUACAGCUACAAGAACCAUCUCUCUCUCUCUCUCUCCUCUCACUCACUCACUCCCCCCAUUCCUACCUUUCUUCUCCUCCACCUCGUCAGGCACCCUCAAACCCUCGCCGCAAGAAAGAAGAGGUCAAUCAAAUCGAACCAAAACCUCCCGACCCCACAAGGCCAAGCUCAUUUCCAUGGUGGUGUACACGCAGGAACAUGUGUACCGGCACCCGUGGGACCGGGUGACAGCGGCGGCGUGGCGCAAGUUCACGGAUCCGGCCUCCUGUACGGCGCUCUCCCACGUCGCAGACGUUCACACCCUACACCGCCGCCUCGACUCCGACACGGGCCGCCUCCAGGCCGCGCGCUCCAUCACCGUGCGGUCCCCGCCGCUCCCUUUCGUCCUGCGCCGACUCCUCCCGUCCGCCGCGGCGUCCCCAAACGGCGCCGCGCUCUGCCACUGCGUCGAGACCUCGCUCGUGGACGCCCAGCGCCGCGCCAUGGACGUCGUCGUGCGCAACGUCAGCCUCCGGGGCCUCAUCGAGGUCGAGGAGCGCGCCUCCUACAGACCACAUCCGGACCGGCCCGACGACUGGACGCAGUUCAGGCAGGAGACCACGAUCCGGUGCCGCCCGCUCGCGGCCCUCGCCGCCGUCGCUGAGAAGGUCGAGACCCGGUGCGCCGAGAGGUUUCUGCAGAAUAGCGCCAAGGGGAGGGAGGUCGUCGAGCGGAUCUGCCGGUACCUCGAGGCCGAGUCCGCCGGCGCCGCGCCCUCCGUAACCUGAUCUCGUUUGCACAUCUUUGCUUGAUCCGAACGGAUCCAAGGGUUCCUCGAUCUGUGCUGUGUGCGCCCGGAUAAAUCGAACCCCGCCUGCUAGGCGCUUGCUUUUCUUCAUUUUUUGUGUGUGAAAUGAUGAGCUGAAUUCGGAAUAGAAUAAAGCUUCUGGUCAUACUUGUUUCUUCUGUUGUAAGUAUGUGGAACCGCUUUAACCUCCCUGAUUUUGAUCAUGAGCCUUGCCAAAUUCUAAUUUGCUAAUAAAUUUAAAUGCUAUGAAAUCACUGAUGUUUGUUGUGUUAUUUUGAUUGACUGAAUGGUUGCUCAUGCUUUGAUUGACUAGAUUUAGUGGUGUUCUCAUUCACAGAAAAGGGUGAGGUCAUUGAUCUGUUGUUCUUUAAGCUGGUAGCAGAUUGUCCCCUUGGUUGAUUGGUAAGAAUAGUAUGACAUCGUGAAGUAAAAUACUUUCCAUAUCUAGUCUAUUCUAGCAAUGUGUCAUUCUUGAAGCUGGGCAGGUAGUGUUUAAUGGUAGAUACCCCAUAGCUUUUUGUCGUACACUUCGCUAAUACUUUUAUCUGUGGAACCAUUUUGAUAAUCUCCCCUUCCAACUCUUUGUGCUUGCUCUUGCAAAUUUGAGAUAUUACAUAAGUUAUACAUAUCGGUGCUUUAAUCUAUUCAAGGCAUGUCCAGAUAAAUCAGAAAGUGAACCGAUGUGUCAUUCUUGAAGCUGGGCACAGUAUUUCUGUCUCCUUUGUACAUUUGGUUUAUUGGUAAGAAUGGCAUGACAUAUAUUGUGGAUAGCAUUGCUUUCUGAUAUUACAAGUCUAUACUCUAUAGUUGUAAUAUAUAUAUGAGCUUCUCCAUGGUUUUCUAAGUCAUGUAUCUACUAAUUAUCAUAAGCUUAUCCUUUUCUUGCUUACUGGAGCGGUGGAUCCUUGGGGUUAUGAACUUAGAUAUUGUAGGCUGCUUGUGCUUGUACUGUUGUGGAUGAGUAGUUAGGUUCCAUGACUUCGAUUAGUCUGCUCAGUUGGCAUAAAUUGAGAAUUGAUGGAAGCCACUAAGCUAGUCAUAGCUCAAGUAACUAUAAUAACACCACCUCCAACUAAUCUAUUAUGUGAUGCUCUUAAUUUCGAACAAAUUUCAUUUGCUUUGUGUUUUCAAUCAUGUGAAGUCUUUAGUAAGUAUGGAAUGUCCCUCACGGCAUGGAUUCCACUUUGAUGCUGUGUCUUGCAACCACAUUUGUACAUCGUAGACCAAGCUACUGCAUCCCUGCAAGUAUGAUGUAUCCUUACCUGAAUUGGAUUCUUGCUGUAUAUUUUACUCUGAAGAUACUUUUUAAAUGUUCUUAUUCACCAUCUUUCAGAGCAUAGUUCUUUAAUCUUUACUAUUCCCUCCAUUCCAAAUCAUAAGGUUUCUUUGCUGUGCACUUAGGUAUAUACUAUGUCUAAAUACAUAAUGCUGCACUUCCUGUGCUUUUCAGCUAUAUCUGUUGCUGCAUGCUGCUUAAAAUUUGAACCGUUGAAAUCUGCUGCAUAGAAUCUGAACUGUGCAUGCAGCAGCAGCUGCACCUGCACCUGCAGCACAAAAUGUGCAGCCGAUCAGGCUGGGUUCAGAAGCCAAAGCGUCUUAUAUUUUGGAAAGGAAGUAUGGAGUACGAAGUAACAAUGUGGUUGUGGGCAACUGCUAGUUCAGAAGUCUGGAAUGGUUUAGGCUAAUGUUAUUCAUUUGGUAGGAAGUUGUGAAACAAAACGUGCUGGCUUCUUACCACUGUAGUCAACUGGUGGUUCUCACUUGUUUGUUCCCUCUGAACUUCAUGGCCGCAACAUCUUUCAGACUAUGAAAUCUGUGUGGUCUAUGCUUGUUCAGAAUUUCUCUUAGUAGGCAUAUUUGACCGUGGCUACAAAUUUUCACGAGGGCGUGGUCCGAAAUUCAGAACGCUGCUUCAUUAUCACAUGGACUGCGGUUUGUUUUCGCACUGACAUGAUUUGACAUUGUUAUUAACAUUUGUGAACUGGUUUUGUGCGAUAAACAGCUGUAAAAUAAAGUAAUUUCUGUGGUUGUAAAUUGUACUACCUUCUCGAAUAUCUGUCGCCCGCCGUUAGUUCAUAUUUGUCAAUGCUGCCUUUGGCUUGGGCGGAGGGAGGCUCCCCGCUUCCUGGUGUCUGCAGAUGUAAUCAGGGUAUUGCCUGAUGCUCUCUGGUAUCCGCCGAUGUGAUCAUGAGCUUAUCAAUCACCUUUUAUUUUCUGAUUCUGAAAACUUGAUACUUGAAGCCGAUAUAUUAUUCAGUAGUCGUUUUGUCUGUCGAAUGUUAUCAGUCCCUGCAAGGAUCACACCACGCUGCGCUCUCUGACUGUUUUGGCUUCGGCGGAGUUGCGGUUCGGUUAGUCAGUUUGCAUAGUUCCUCGUUGCAGAUGAUCGUAGUUUACAAAAUUCUGGUCGUGUUCGUGUUAGUUGUUGUGCCGCUCUUGCUCGGUUGAUGGCAAGAUGGCAGCUAUAUGUGGAACUGAACUGCCCUGUCAAAUCAAAGCCAAACUGAAUCACCACCAACAAGCAGCUGAAGCCAACGUCUCAACUGGGACUGGGACAGCCUACCCUUUACUGAUAAUAGCACGCAAGUCAAGUAGUCACCAUAACUUUUUUUUUGAGAAUCAAGUAGUCAACAUAAUUGUUGGGACUAGGAGUCUCUCUAGGAGACUAGGAGAGGCGAUUCGGAUAAAUAAAUGACUAAAAAUAGGAGUAGAGGGCCUACCUAGAUGGGCCUAAUUAUUACACAUGGGCUGGCCAUGUAUGUGCGCGGGGUGGCCCGGAACAUUAGGUAGCCCUAACUCGCGCCGCUAUAAAAUGGCGACUCUGGCGAUCAGGGUUUAUCUCGACUCCGCAACCUCCCUCUAGCCCGAGCGAAGAAGAAAGGAGGGUGCUCUGCCGGCGGCGGAGCGGAGAUGUCCGAGAGGAGGCGCGGCGCCGGCGCCGGCACCGGCACCCGCAAGGAUGAGGUGGUGACCCGCGAGUACACCAUCAACCUCCACAAGCGCCUCCACGGAUGGUACUACCACCAACUUUCUCUUCCAUUUCCCAAGCUUAUUAGAUCCACGUGUUGGGGAGCAUAGUGUUGUUCUAUAGCCGCGUCGGGCUUACACAUCAGAUGCUGGUGCGGAGGGUUGCGGCCUGUGAGCACUAUGUGGGCUUGCGAAUGGUCGAUACACCUGAUCGGAUGCAUUAUCUUUUACCAGCUAGACUACAGUCGGGAUCACCUGACCGAGCGGGAAUAGCGUGUAGUUGAUCUUGCUCUUGUAUCUGAUCCCACAUUC
Molecule: long non-coding RNA, 22523 nt
Filed under: Zea mays
Lineage: Eukaryota; Viridiplantae; Streptophyta; Magnoliopsida; Poales; Poaceae
Description: long non-coding RNA (ZMAY_LNC002603)
Source: RNAcentral